RNAcentral lists this unclassified non-coding RNA (315 nucleotides) under plant metagenome. Its description in RNAcentral is "partial contains 5.8S ribosomal RNA, internal transcribed spacer 2, and large subunit ribosomal RNA". The stretch from base 1 to 105 matches the Rfam family "5.8S ribosomal RNA", at positions 50 to 154 of the family's 154-position model. The record is from RNAcentral.
GAACUGCGAUAAGUAAUGUGAAUUGCAGAAUUCAGUGAAUCAUCGAGUCUUUGAACGCACAUUGCGCCCCCUGGCAUUCCGGGGGGCAUGCCUGUCCGAGCGUCAUUGCUGCCCUUCAAGCCCGGCUUGUGUGUUGGGUCGUCGUCCCCUCCGGGGGACGGGCCCGAAAGGCAGCGGCGGCACCGCGUCCGGUCCUCGAGCGUAUGGGGCUUUUUCACCCGCUCGAUAAGGACCGGCCGGGCGCCAGCCGGCGUCUCCAACCUUUUUUUCUCAGGUUGACCUCGGAUCAGGUAGGGAUACCCGCUGAACUUAAGC